Molecule: ribosomal RNA, 253 nt
Filed under: uncultured prokaryote
Description: partial 16S ribosomal RNA
Rfam family: Bacterial small subunit ribosomal RNA
Source: RNAcentral
CACGGGGGGAGCAAGCGUUGUUCGGAAUCACUGGGCGUAAAGGGCGUGUAGGCGGUCAAGUAAGUGGAAUGUGAAAGCCCCCGGCUUACCCGGGGAUCUGCAUCCCAAACUGCUUGGCUUGAGUACGGGAGAGGAUGGAGGAAUUCCUGGUGUAGCGGUGAAAUGCGUAGAUAUCUGGAGGAACACCGGUGGCGAAGGCGGCAUUCUGGACCGACAUUGACGCUGAGGAGCGAAAGCCAGGGGAGCAAACGGG